Molecule: ribosomal RNA, 1445 nt
Filed under: uncultured organism
Description: 16S ribosomal RNA
Rfam family: Bacterial small subunit ribosomal RNA
Source: RNAcentral
AACGCUAGCUACAGGCUUAACACAUGCAAGUCGAGGGGCAGCAUGGUCUUAGCUUGCUAAGGCCGAUGGCGACCGGCGCACGGGUGAGUAACACGUAUCCAACCUACCGUCUACUCUUGGACAGCCUUCUGAAAGGAAGAUUAAUACAAGAUGGCAUCAUGAGUCCGCAUGUUCACAUGAUUAAAGGUAUUCCGGUAGACGAUGGGGAUGCGUUCCAUUAGAUAGUAGGCGGGGUAACGGCCCACCUAGUCUUCGAUGGAUAGGGGUUCUGAGAGGAAGGUCCCCCACAUUGGAACUGAGACACGGUCCAAACUCCUACGGGAGGCAGCAGUGAGGAAUAUUGGUCAAUGGGCGAGAGCCUGAACCAGCCAAGUAGCGUGAAGGAUGACUGCCCUAUGGGUUGUAAACUUCUUUUAUAAAGGAAUAAAGUCGGGUAUGGAUACCCGUUUGCAUGUACUUUAUGAAUAAGGAUCGGCUAACUCCGUGCCAGCAGCCGCGGUAAUACGGAGGAUCCGAGCGUUAUCCGGAUUUAUUGGGUUUAAAGGGAGCGUAGAUGGAUGUUUAAGUCAGUUGUGAAAGUUUGCGGCUCAACCGUAAAAUUGCAGUUGAUACUGGAUAUCUUGAGUGCAGUUGAGGCAGGCGGAAUUCGUGGUGUAGCGGUGAAAUGCUUAGAUAUCACGAAGAACUCCGAUUGCGAAGGCAGCCUGCUAAGCUGCAACUGACAUUGAGGCUCGAAAGUGUGGGUAUCAAACAGGAUUAGAUACCCUGGUAGUCCACACGGUAAACGAUGAAUACUCGCUGUUUGCGAUAUACGGCAAGCGGCCAAGCGAAAGCGUUAAGUAUUCCACCUGGGGAGUACGCCGGCAACGGUGAAACUCAAAGGAAUUGACGGGGGCCCGCACAAGCGGAGGAACAUGUGGUUUAAUUCGAUGAUACGCGAGGAACCUUACCCGGGCUUAAAUUGCAGAUGAAUUACGGUGAAAGCCGUAAGCCGCAAGGCAUCUGUGAAGGUGCUGCAUGGUUGUCGUCAGCUCGUGCCGUGAGGUGUCGGCUUAAGUGCCAUAACGAGCGCAACCCUUGUUGUCAGUUACUAACAGGUUCCGCUGAGGACUCUGACAAGACUGCCAUCGUAAGAUGUGAGGAAGGUGGGGAUGACGUCAAAUCAGCACGGCCCUUACGUCCGGGGCUACACACGUGUUACAAUGGGGGGUACAGAGGGCCGCUACCACGCGAGUGGAUGCCAAUCCCCAAAACCUCUCUCAGUUCGGACUGGAGUCUGCAACCCGACUCCACGAAGCUGGAUUCGCUAGUAAUCGCGCAUCAGCCACGGCGCGGUGAAUACGUUCCCGGGCCUUGUACACACCGCCCGUCAAGCCAUGGGAGCCGGGGGUACCUGAAGUGCGUAACCGCGAGGAGCGCCCUAGGGUAAAACUGGUGACUGGGGC